Molecule: ribosomal RNA, 253 nt
Filed under: uncultured bacterium
Lineage: Bacteria
Description: partial 16S ribosomal RNA
Rfam family: Bacterial small subunit ribosomal RNA
Source: RNAcentral
UACAGAGGUCUCAAGCGUUGUUCGGAUUCAUUGGGCGUAAAGGGUGCGUAGGCGGCGCGGUAAGUCGGGUGUGAAAUCUUGGAGCUUAACUCCGAAACUGCAUUCGAUACUGCCGUGCUUGAGGACUGGAGAGGAGACUGGAAUUUACGGUGUAGCGGUGAAAUUCGUAGAUAUCGAGAGGAACACCGGUGGCGAAGGCGGCCUUCUGGACAGUGACUGACGCUGAGACACGAAAGCGUGGGGAGCAAACAGG